RNAcentral lists this ribosomal RNA (557 nucleotides) under uncultured bacterium. RNAcentral describes it as "bacterial SSU rRNA". It matches the Rfam family "Bacterial small subunit ribosomal RNA", at positions 353 to 901 of the family's 1533-position model. The record is from RNAcentral.
AGUAGGGAAUAUUGGACAAUGGGCGCAAGCCUGAUCCAGCCAUGCCGCGUGUGUGAAGAAGGCCUUCGGGUUGUAAAGCACUUUUAUCCGGAAAGAAAAGCGCUGGGUUAAUACCCUGGUGUCCUGACGGUACCGGAAGAAUAAGCACCGGCUAACUUCGUGCCAGCAGCCGCGGUAAUACGAAGGGUGCAAGCGUUACUCGGAAUUACUGGGCGUAAAGCGUGCGUAGGUGGUUUGUUAAGUCUGAUGUGAAAGCCCUGGGCUCAACCUGGGAAUUGCAUUGGAUACUGGCAGGCUAGAGUGCGGUAGAGGGUAGUGGAAUUCCCGGUGUAGCAGUGAAAUGCGUAGAGAUCGGGAGGAACAUCUGUGGCGAAGGCGACUACCUGGACCAGCACUGACACUGAGGCACGAAAGCGUGGGGAGCAAACAGGAUUAGAUACCCUGGUAGUCCACGCCCUAAACGAUGCGAACUGGAUGUUGGGCUCAACUUGGAGCUCAGUAUCGAAGCUAACGCGUUAAGUUCGCCGCCUGGGGAGUACGGUCGCAAGACUGAAACU